CAAGAGAUUCCCUUUAGUAGCGGGCGAGCGAAGCGGGAAGAGCUCAAAUUUGAAAGCUGGCGUCCUACGGGCGUCCGCAUUGUAAUCUAUAGAGGCGUUUUCUGUGCUGGACCGUGUCCAAGUCCCUUGGAACAGGGUAUCAAAGAGGGUGACAAUCCCGUACUUGACACGACAACCAGUGCUCUGUGAUACGUCUUCUACGAGUCGAGUUGUUUGGGAAUGCAGCUCAAAAUGGGUGGUGAAUUCCAUCUAAAGCUAAAUAUUGGCGAGAGACCGAUAGCGAACAAGUACCGUGAGGGAAAGAUGAAAAGCACUUUGGAAAGAGAGUUAAACAGUAUGUGAAAUUGUUGAAAGGGAAACGAUGGAGGUCAGUCGUGUCUGUGGGAUUCAGCCGUCUCUGGCGGUGUACUUCCCACAGACGGGUCAACAUCAGUUUUGGCUGGCGGAUAAAGGCAGGAGGAAGGUGGCACCCCCGGGUGUGUUAUAGCCUCUUGUUGCAU
RNAcentral lists this ribosomal RNA (500 nucleotides) under Saitozyma podzolica. RNAcentral's name for it is "eukaryotic LSU rRNA". It matches the Rfam family "Eukaryotic large subunit ribosomal RNA", at positions 66 to 572 of the family's 3401-position model. Lineage: Eukaryota; Fungi; Basidiomycota; Tremellomycetes; Tremellales; Trimorphomycetaceae. The record is from RNAcentral.